Molecule: ribosomal RNA, 453 nt
Filed under: uncultured bacterium
Lineage: Bacteria
Description: bacterial SSU rRNA
Rfam family: Bacterial small subunit ribosomal RNA
Source: RNAcentral
AAUGAACGCUGGCGGCAUGCCUAACACAUGCAAGUCGAACGAAGGCUUCGGCCUUAGUGGCGCACGGGUGCGUAACGCGUGGGAAUCUGCCCUCAGGUUCGGAAUAACAGCGAGAAAUUGCUGCUAAUACCGGAUGAUAUCGCGAGAUCAAAGAUUUAUCGCCUGAGGAUGAGCCCGCGUAGGAUUAGCUAGUUGGUGUGGUAAAGGCGCACCAAGGCGACGAUCCUUAGCUGGUCUGAGAGGAUGAUCAGCCACACUGGGACUGAGACACGGCCCAGACUCCUACGGGAGGCAGCAGUGGGGAAUAUUGGACAAUGGGCGAAAGCCUGAUCCAGCAAUGCCGCGUGAGUGAUGAAGGCCUUAGGGUUGUAAAGCUCUUUUACCCGGGAUGAUAAUGACAGUACCGGGAGGAAUAAGCUCCGGCUAACUCCGUGCCAGCAGCCGCGGUAAAGU